Molecule: long non-coding RNA, 3340 nt
Organism: Heterocephalus glaber (naked mole-rat)
Lineage: Eukaryota; Metazoa; Chordata; Mammalia; Rodentia; Bathyergidae
Source: Ensembl
UUUCUCUGGCCCUCUGACCCCUCUUACUAUUACACACUUCCUUUGUCCCUGUUUUCAUUGUCAUGGUUUCUCCCAGCAGCACCUGGAGACUGCCUAAGGACUUCAUCCGGCUGCAGGAGCGUCCAGGAGUUGCUGGUCCUGGGAGCUGCCUUUGGCCACUGAAGAAUAAGAGUUGGUGGACAGACACUGCCUGGCAGGUGGAACUAUCCCUUGUAACAGUGCUCUCCAGGAAACAGUCAGUACAGAAGAAGAUUUAUUAGGAGGCUUUGGAUCAUAUGAUUGUGGAGGAUGAGAAGUCCUACACACUGUAACCUGCAAGCUGGAAGCCCAGGAAAGCUGGUGGUGAUGUUGCAAUCUGCUGUGGUUUGGAUGUGGUUGGUCUCAAAAGUUUAGAAGGGGGAGGCAGCGUCCCUGGUUACAGGCGCUGGAGCGUCUCCUUGGAGCUCCGUGGUGUAUCUAGGAGUCUGAAAGUGCACCCCAGCCAACUAUGAACUGAAACCUCUUCAAACUGUGAGGUGAAGGAGAAACCAGAUUCUGUCCUGUUCCAGCUGUUGCUGUUUGAGGUCUAUGGCUUUUGCAGCAGUACCUAACCUUCACAGACACAGACUCAUGACUGUGUCAGAUGGUGGGUAUCAUCCAUCUCCGUACUCUGUACUUUCUCACCUGAAGAAGCAGAACCUCUGGGCGUGAUCCUGUUCAUCACUAAUACACGGAUGGCCUCACAUUCACCCCUAUGUACCUGAUAUGAGACCAAGUCCCUGAGAUGGCCCUAUUAUAGGCUGCACUGUCCACCAUAGGCUCUGCUCACGGAAGCCCUAGACCACUCUAGCAUGCGGUUUUACAUUGUGAAAGAACAGAAUACUAUUUUGUGACACUGGUGAAAAUUAGAUGAAAUCCAAAUGUCAGUGUCCAUAAAUGAAGUUCUAUUGGCCACAGCUGCUCAUUUGUUUGCAUACUCUCUAUGGCUAUUGUGUUCCAGCAGCAGAGCCGAGGAGCUAUAAUGGACCCCAGGGUCUGUAAAGCCUGAAAUAUUUACUCUUUGAUGCUUGAUAGAAAACGUUUGUUGAUUCUUCAUCCAGAUGAAAUCAAAUUCCAAUAAUGUAAUUAUCCAUGCCUGAUGAUUUCCUUCUCCAGUAGCUGCUUUCAUCCAUGCUUCUCAGAAGCUGUCAGGAAUGAAGGGGCCUGACAGCCUCAGGAAUGGAGGAAGGUGCAGGCCAGGCAGGGGCAAUUGUCCUCUGCCCUGUGGGCCCGCAAGUAAGUUCCCUUCACUUGGCCAUGGGGUAUGCUCUGAUUGAAUGGGUUCUUGUCCAUCUACUUAGAGCCCUAUCUGUAUCUACCUCCAUCUCUCUGUAGAUUAUACCCACAUGUAUAUAAAUUAUAUAGGUGUGCAUAAUAUAGAAAACUUUAUGCUAGUGAUAAAUGCUAUAAAAAUAAAGUAUGUGAAAGAGGUAGUGAUGGGAGGCAUUUCUUCAAAAGGGGCAAGGGAAGGUCUCUCAGGUGCCAUGAGCAAAGACCUGUCUGAAGCAGUGAAGUACUGAUGCAUUCCAGGCAGUGCAAAGGCCCUGGGAUGGAACUGUCCUCUGUCCAAGAAAGACAAGAUGGCUUGGGGGCAGAGCCAGGGGGUGGGGGUGGGUGCUAGGUGGGAAGUGAGCCUGAGGAGUAAGGAGCGGCAGAUGGAGAACAAUCACAGGCCAAGGACAGGUGUCUGGAUGAUACCUUAAGUGCAGUUAAGUCUCCAGAGUGACCUGGGGCACGGUAUAAUCUGUUCUACAGAUUUCAAAGAUCUCUGUGGAGACUGAACCAUUGGACCUCCUGUGGGUCCUCAGGCAGGGCUUCCCUGAAGCAAAGAUCUCUGAACAUCAGGUGGUAAGCAGGCUGCCAAAGAGGCUGCAGCCUGGCUGGGGAAGGCAAGGGUCAGGUCAGGCGGAGUGGUGGACUCAGGAUGGUCCUUCAGACUUCCCCUCCUCUAGUCUCCUCUUUACCUCCUCUGUCCCUAUUUUCUCUGGGCACCAUGGCCCCUGCAGUUCACCCUCCUCAGGCCAGCUACCAUGCUGAUGCACCUGUCAAGUGCCUCUUCUGGGCCAAGUUCCUGGCUGAUAGGGAGUAGGUGGCUCAGAGCAGGUAUUUAUCAAAAAAACCAGGAGCUGGUGCUGGAAGGACAGCCGAAGUGGGCUACAUGGGGAUUCAUGAGAACCAUUCCACUGGCAUAGUUCAGUGUUCCAGAUUAUUCCCUUAAGGAUCUGGGUGACACACCUCUUGUCCUCACGGAUGGAGCCUGACACUCAGCACACAGAGCCAUAUCCUAUGGCAGUUCUACACCACCCAAGCCCAAACUCAACACUGUGAGCUCCUCCAAGCCACUUCACUUUGGAGCCCUGCCCUAAUCCCACAGUGCCUGGGACACUGGGGUAGGUGGAAAUGCUCCCUGAAGUAGUGCCCACCACUCCAUGGACUGGAUAGUUAUUACUAUCGAUGAGAAAAUUUAGUCAGAAAGGUGACCUACCUCAAGGUUAAAGGCUGGUCAACGGCGGAGGCAGACUGUGUUAAUUCUGCUAGGUAUAGGCUGUGCUCCUCAUACUUACUGGAUCAAUCAUUGACUGAAUUUACAAUCUAAAACAUCAGUGGGCUAUUCUCCAAUUCACCACUACUUAUACAAGAAAGCAGACAUCUGUAAGCUGUGACCACUUUACACCCACCAGGCUGGCUAAAAAAAGAAUAUAUGGCAAAAGCACUGUUGGUGGGAAUGUACAAUGGUGAAAAUGUGGCCAAAAAACAAAAAAAGUGACCAAAUAACUCAGCAGCCCAGGGAAACUGAAAACACAAAAUUUAUAGACAAAUGUUUGCAUCAAUAUGAUUCCUAAUAGCUAAGAAGUGAACAGUCCAAAUGACCAUCAACUGAUGGACAAAAUGUGAUAUAGUCAUACAGUGGAAUAUUAAGGGAAAAAAAGGAAUGAAAGCUGGGCAUUAUAGCACACACCUGUAAUCUCAGCACUUGGGAGGCUGAGGCAGGAGGAUUGCAGCCUGGGCAAUAUAGUGAGCUCAAGGUCAGCCUGAACUACAUAGCAAGACUGCCUCAAAAACAUAACUAAAUGAAAGAAUCCAGCUAUAAAAGGCUAUAUGUUGAAUUCCAUUUAUAGGCAAAGUCCCAAACUGACCAGCCUAUAGACAUAAAGAUCAAUGGCUGCAGGGGCAGGUGUAUGUGUAAGGUAGUGGGUGGGGAAACUUAGAAGUGUCUGCUAAUGGGCAUGUGUUUCUAAGGUGACAGAAAUGUUCUAUAAUUAGAUCAUGGUAAUGGCUGCACAACUGAUUUGUACAUUUCCAGAGUGAAUUAUCUCAAUAA